UACAGAGGUCUCAAGCGUUGUUCGGAUUCAUUGGGCGUAAAGGGUGUGUAGGCGGCGCGCUAAGUCGGGUGUGAAAUUUCGGAGCUUAACUCCGAAACUGCAUUCGAUACUGGCGUGCUUGAGGACUUGAGAGGAGACUGGAAUUCAUGGUGUAGCAGUGAAAUGCGUAGAGAUCAUGAGGAAGACCAGUGGCGAAGGCGGGUCUCUGGACAGUUCCUGACACUGAGACACGAAGGCCAGGGGAGCAAACGGG
This 253-nucleotide ribosomal RNA is filed under the name uncultured bacterium. RNAcentral's name for it is "partial 16S ribosomal RNA". It matches the Rfam family "Bacterial small subunit ribosomal RNA", at positions 524 to 776 of the family's 1533-position model. The record is from RNAcentral.